CCUACGGGGGGCAGCAGUGAGGAAUAUUGGUCAAUGGACGCAAGGCUGAACCAGCCAUGUCGCGUGCAGGAUGACGGCUCUAUGAUUUGUAAACUUCUUUUAUAGGAGGGUAAAGGUAUACACGUGUGGAGGUUUGCAUGUACCCUAUGAAUAAGCAUCGGCUAACUCCGUGCCAGCAGCCGCGGUAAUACGGAGGAUGCGAGCGUUAUCCGGAUUUAUUGGGUUUAAAGGGUGCGUAGGUUGUUUGUUAAGUCAGCGGUGAAAGGUUGGGGCUCAACCCCGAAAUUGCCGGUGAUACUGGAAGACUUGAGUGUGGUUGAGGUAGGCGGAAUGCAUGGUGUAGCGGUGAAAUGCAUAGAGAUCACGCAGAACUCCGAUUGCGAAGGCAGCUUACUAAGCUAUAACUGACGCUGAAGCACGAAAGCGUGGGGAGCAAACAGGAUUAGAUACCCUUGUAGUC
Molecule: ribosomal RNA, 460 nt
Filed under: uncultured bacterium
Lineage: Bacteria
Description: partial 16S ribosomal RNA
Rfam family: Bacterial small subunit ribosomal RNA
Source: RNAcentral